Molecule: ribosomal RNA, 443 nt
Filed under: uncultured bacterium
Lineage: Bacteria
Description: partial 16S ribosomal RNA
Rfam family: Bacterial small subunit ribosomal RNA
Source: RNAcentral
CCUACGGAGGGCUGCAGUGGGGAAUAUUGCACAAUGGGCGAAAGCCUGAUGCAGCAACGCCGCGUGAAGGAAGAAGGGUUUCGGCUCGUAAACUUCUAUUAACAGGGACGAAAGAAAUGACGGUAACUGAAUAAGACGCACAGGCUAACUACGUGACAGCAGCCGCGGCAAUACGUAGGGGGCAAGCGUUAUCCGGAAUUACUGGGUGUAAAGGGUGAGUAGGCGGCAUGGUAAGCCAGAUGUAAAAGCCUUGGGCUUAACCCGAGGAUUGCAUUUGGAACUAGCAAGCUAGAGUACAGGAGAGGAAAGCGGAAUUCCUGGUGUAGCGGUGAAAUGCGUAGAUAUUAGGAAGAACACCAGUGGCGAAGGCGGCUUUCUGGACUGAAACUGACGCUGAGGCACGAAAGCGUGGGGAGCGAACAGGAUUAGAUACCCGGGUAGUC